CACGGGGGCAACCCUGGUGGCGAGUGGCGAACGGGUGAGUAAUACAUCGGAACGUGCCCAGUAGUGGGGGAUAGCUCGGCGAAAGCCGGAUUAAUACCGCAUACGACCUACGGGUGAAAGCGGGGGAUCGCAAGACCUCGCGCUAUUGGAGCGGCCGAUGUCAGAUUAGGUUGUUGGUGGGGUAAAAGCCUACCAAGCCGACGAUCUGUAGCUGGUCUGAGAGGACGACCAGCCACACUGGGACUGAGACACGGCCCAGACUCCUACGGGAGGCAGCAGUGGGGAAUUUUGGACAAUGGGCGAAAGCCUGAUCCAGCCAUGCCGCGUGCGGGAAGAAGGCCUUCGGG
Molecule: ribosomal RNA, 347 nt
Filed under: uncultured bacterium
Lineage: Bacteria
Description: bacterial SSU rRNA
Rfam family: Bacterial small subunit ribosomal RNA
Source: RNAcentral